This 253-nucleotide ribosomal RNA is filed under the name uncultured bacterium. RNAcentral's name for it is "partial 16S ribosomal RNA". It matches the Rfam family "Bacterial small subunit ribosomal RNA", at positions 524 to 776 of the family's 1533-position model. The record is from RNAcentral.
UACGUAGGGUGCAAGCGUUAAUCGGAAUUACUGGGCGUAAAGCGCGCGUAGGCGGCUUUGUAAGUUAGAGGUGAAAGCCCGGAGCUCAACUCCGGAACUGCCUUUAAGACUGCAUCGCUAGAAUUGUGGAGAGGUAAGUGGAAUUCCGAGUGUAGAGGUGAAAUUCGUAGAUAUUCGGAAGAACACCAGUGGCGAAGGCGACUUACUGGACACAUAUUGACGCUGAGGCGCGAAAGCGUGGGGAGCAAACAGG